GCCACCCCAGGGGAGGCGGGGCUACCCGCUGAAUU
RNAcentral lists this ribosomal RNA (35 nucleotides) under Zelkova serrata. Its description in RNAcentral is "partial 25S ribosomal RNA". Lineage: Eukaryota; Viridiplantae; Streptophyta; Magnoliopsida; Rosales; Ulmaceae. The record is from RNAcentral.